This 484-nucleotide ribosomal RNA is filed under the name uncultured bacterium. RNAcentral describes it as "partial 16S ribosomal RNA". It matches the Rfam family "Bacterial small subunit ribosomal RNA", at positions 29 to 507 of the family's 1533-position model. The record is from RNAcentral.
AUUGAACGCUGGCGGCAGGCCUAACACAUGCAAGUCGAGCGGAUGAAGGGAGCUUGCUCCUGGAUUCAGCUGCGGACGGGUGAGUAAUGCCUAGGAAUCUGCCUGGUAGUGGGGGAUAACGUCCGGAAACGGGCGCUAAUACCGCAUACGUCCUGAGGGAGAAAGUGGGGGAUCUUCGGACCUCACGCUAUCAGAUGAGCCUAGGUCGGAGUAGCUAGUUGGUGGGGUAAAGGCCUACCAAGGCGACGAGCCGGAACUGGUCUGAGAGGAUGAUCAGUCACAAGGGAACGGAGACACGGUCAAGACUCCUACGGGAGGCAGCAGGGGGGAAUAUUGGAGAAAGGGGGAAAGCCUGACCCAGCCAUGCGGCGUGAGGGAAGAAGGUCUUCGGAUUGUAAAACACUUUAAGUGGGGAGGAAGGGCAGUAAUUUAAACCCUUGUUUUUUUGACGUUAACAAAAAAAAAAGCCCCGGCAAACUCCGUG